This 408-nucleotide ribosomal RNA is filed under the name uncultured bacterium. Its description in RNAcentral is "partial 16S ribosomal RNA". It matches the Rfam family "Bacterial small subunit ribosomal RNA", at positions 28 to 526 of the family's 1533-position model. The record is from RNAcentral.
GACGAACGCUGACGGCGUGCUUAACACAUGCAAGUCGAAGGGAGUGGCGAAAGGGGGAGUAAGACGUGAGUAACCCGCCCUUUGCUUCGGGAUAAGCCUGGGGAACUGGGUCGAAUACUGGGUGAAUGGGGUUUGGCUCGCGGAUUAUCAGCUUGUUGGUGGGGUGAUGGCUUACCAAGGCUUUCACGGGUAGCCGGCCUGAGAGGGUGGUCGGUCACGGUGGGACUGCGAUACGGGCCAGACUCCUACGGGAGGCAGCAGUGGGGGUUAUUGCACAAUGGACGAAAGUCUGAUGCAGCGACGUCGUGUGGGGGAUGAAGGCCUUCGGGUUGUAAACUCCUUUCGCCCGCGGAAUGGUAUUGGGUAAAUAAGCCCCGGCUAACUACGUGCCAGCAGCCGCGGUAAUAC